Tachyglossus aculeatus (Australian echidna) is the source of this 200-nucleotide small nuclear RNA. RefSeq annotates it as U2 spliceosomal RNA. NCBI's taxonomy places the organism in Eukaryota, Metazoa, Chordata, Mammalia, Monotremata, Tachyglossidae. The transcript has a single exon. The record is from RefSeq and is a predicted model, not a curated record.
AAGGCUUCUCGGCCUUUUGGCUAAGAUCAAGUGUAGUAUCUGUUCUUAUCAGUUUAAUAUCUGCUUCUAGACUGUGAGCCCGCUGUUGGGUAGGGACCGUCUCUAUAUGUUGCCAACUUGGACUUCCCAAGCGCUUAGUACAGUGCUCUGCACACAAUAAGCGCUCAAUAAAUACGAUUGAUUGAUUGAUUGUACUUCCC